Molecule: ribosomal RNA, 743 nt
Filed under: bacterium enrichment culture clone PF-1_34
Lineage: Bacteria
Description: bacterial SSU rRNA
Rfam family: Bacterial small subunit ribosomal RNA
Source: RNAcentral
UAGAGUUUGAUCCUGGCUCACCUUGAACGCUGGCGGCAUGCCUUACACAUGCAAGUCGAACGGCAGCACGGGUGCUUGCACCUGGUGGCGAGUGGCGAACGGGUGAGUAAUACAUCGGAACAUGUCCUNNNNNGGGGGAUAGCCCGGCGAAAGCCGGAUUAAUACCGCAUACGAUCUACGGAUGAAAGCGGGGGACCUUCGGGCCUCGCGCUAUAGGGUUGGCCGAUGGCUGAUUAGCUAGUUGGUGGGGUAAAGGCCUACCAAGGCGACGAUCAGUAGCUGGUCUGAGAGGACGACCAGCCACACUGGGACUGAGACACGGCCCAGACUCCUACGGGAGGCAGCAGUGGGGAAUUUUGGACAAUGGGCGAAAGCCUGAUCCAGCAAUGCCGCGUGUGUGAAGAAGGCCUUCGGGUUGUAAAGCACUUUUGUCCGGAAAGAAAUCCUGGUGGCUAAUAUCCGCCGGGGAUGACGGUACCGGAAGAAUAAGCACCGGCUAACUACGUGCCAGCAGCCGCGGUAAUACGUAGGGUGCGAGCGUUAAUCGGAAUUACUGGGCGUAAAGCGUGCGCAGGCGGUUCGCUAAGACCGAUGUGAAAUCCCCGGGCUUAACCUGGGAACUGCAUUGGUGACUGGCGGGCUAGAGUAUGGCAGAGGGGGGUAGAAUUCCACGUGUAGCAGUGAAAUGCGUAGAGAUGUGGAGGAAUACCGAUGGCGAAGGCAGCCCCCUGGGCCAAUACUGA